RNAcentral lists this long non-coding RNA (128 nucleotides) under Ictidomys tridecemlineatus (thirteen-lined ground squirrel). RNAcentral describes it as "lncRNA (ENSSTOG00000030587.1)". Lineage: Eukaryota; Metazoa; Chordata; Mammalia; Rodentia; Sciuridae. The record is from RNAcentral.
UUAAAAAGUAUUAAGAAGUAAUCAUGAUAUAACUGGGUCAAAUGUGGAUAGCAGAAACUACAAGAAAAGCAAGAUACUCAAUCCAUCAGUCAUGAUAUAAAGACUACGCUUAAAAUAAUGAAUAAUAU